UCCGGUAUGGUGUAACGGCUAACAUUGCCGCCUUUCAUAUCAAGUAAGAUCGAUUCGCGAACGCGGCAGCUCGGGGUUCGAUUCCCCGUACCGGAA
Non-coding RNA from Lyophyllum atratum, 96 nucleotides. The record is from the annotation of a GenBank genome assembly. NCBI's taxonomy places the organism in Eukaryota, Fungi, Basidiomycota, Agaricomycetes, Agaricales, Lyophyllaceae.